AUUUUCUGAGAGACAUCCUUGACAUGCUCGCGGACGCUCUCUCCAGCAGCAUGAUUUCAUUGCCUUGUGCGGACGCACGGUGCGAGAAAAUGAGAAGACACCUGCUCGGCGAUUCGGAGCUGGCUGUCAAAAAACGGGAAAGAAAGUGCGGUGGAAGGAGAAGAGAAAAAAAAGAGAAAAGAAAAAAACCCAGGCAGCCCCGAGAUAUAUCUAUUCUGGCUCCCUGCUUCCCUCAAGCUGCCGCGCGCACAGAAAGGGCAUCUCAUCCUCUCCAGUGGAGCUCCCAUUGAAUGCUGCCUUUUCUCUCUUUCUGUGUGUCUCUCGCUGGAACACUGCCAGAGCUCUCUGUCUCAGUGAGGUAUCUGCCAGUCACUCAGAAGUCCAUUCUUCACUAAAACAUGAUGUCUAUCUCCUGGGUCCUGUCUGUGAAACAGUGCAGGUCUUGGUACCUUUGUCAGAAGCGAUUAUGAUCUGUGUAAGCUGACGGAAU
Molecule: long non-coding RNA, 490 nt
Organism: Oreochromis niloticus (Nile tilapia)
Lineage: Eukaryota; Metazoa; Chordata; Actinopteri; Cichliformes; Cichlidae
Exons: 3
Source: RefSeq, a predicted model, not a curated record